AGGCCCCUAAGCGUACGCUAAGUGGGAAAGGAUGUGGAGUCGCACAGACAACCAGGAGGUUGGCUUAGAAGCAGCCACCCUUGAAAGAGUGCGUAAUAGCUCACUGGUCUAGUGAUUCCGCGCCGACAAUGUAGCGGGGCUCAAGCGUACCGCCGAAGUCGUGUCAUUGCAGCAGAUAGCCCCAACGGGUGCUGUGAUGGGUAGGGGAGCGUCGUCUGCCGGGUGAAGCAGCACCGGAAGGUAGUUGUGGACGGUUGACGAGUGAGAAUGCAGGCAUGAGUAGCGAUUCACACGUGAGAAACGUGUGCGCCGAUUGACUAAGGGUUCCUGGGUCAAGCUGAUCUGCCCAGGGUAAGUCGGGACCUAAGGCGAGGCCGACAGGCGUAGUCGAUGGAUAACCGGUUGAUAUUCCGGUACCCGCUGUGAAGCGUCAAACAUCGAAUCCAGUGAUGCUAAGCCCGUGAAGCCGCCGGCUGAGUCUUCGGACGAGGUCGGAGUGGUGGAGCCGGUGACCCGAGCUGGUAGUAGGUGAGUGAUGGGGUGACGCAGGAAGGUAGUCCAUCCCGGGCGGUGGUUGUCCCGGGGUAAGGGUGUAGGACGUCAGGUAGGUAAAUCCGCCUGGCACAUAGUCUGAGACCUGAUGCCGAGCCGAUUGUGGUGAAGUGGAUGAUCCUAUGCUGUCGAGAAAAGCCUCUAGCGAGUUUCAUGGCGGCCCGUACCCUAAACCGACUCAGGUGGUCAGGUAGAGAAUACCGAGGCGUUCGGGUGAACUAUGGUUAAGGAACUCGGCAAAAUGCCCCCGUAACUUCGGGAGAAGGGGGGCCACGCCUGGUGAUAGCACUUGCUGCUAGAGCUGGGGGUGGCCGCAGAGACCAGCGAGAAGCGACUGUUUACUAAAAACACAGGUCCGUGCGAAGCCGUAAGGCGAUGUAUACGGACUGACGCCUGCCCGGUGCGGAACGUUAAGGGGACC
RNAcentral lists this ribosomal RNA (973 nucleotides) under Streptomyces sp. RNAcentral's name for it is "partial 23S ribosomal RNA". It matches the Rfam family "Bacterial large subunit ribosomal RNA", at positions 1042 to 1887 of the family's 2925-position model. Lineage: Bacteria; Bacillati; Actinomycetota; Actinomycetes; Kitasatosporales; Streptomycetaceae. The record is from RNAcentral.